UUCUUCAGUAGCCAAGUGGUUAAGGCACUUGCCUGGCAUGCACUAUUGCCCAGAUCAAAUCUGGGUGUGGAAU
Non-coding RNA from Paramuricea clavata, 73 nucleotides. Lineage: Eukaryota; Metazoa; Cnidaria; Anthozoa; Malacalcyonacea; Plexauridae. The record is from the annotation of a GenBank genome assembly.